RNAcentral lists this ribosomal RNA (429 nucleotides) under Desertifilum tharense BpSpC1. RNAcentral describes it as "bacterial SSU rRNA". It matches the Rfam family "Bacterial small subunit ribosomal RNA", at positions 356 to 799 of the family's 1533-position model. The record is from RNAcentral. Lineage: Bacteria; Bacillati; Cyanobacteriota; Cyanophyceae; Desertifilales; Desertifilaceae.
UGGGAAUUUUCCGCAAUGGGCGAAAGCCUGACGGAGCAAGAACGCGUGGGGGAGGAAGGCCUUUGGGUUGUAAACCCCUUUUGUUAGGGAAGAAAAAAAUGACGGUACCUAACGAAUCAGCCUCGGCUAACUCCGUGCCAGCAGCCGCGGUAAUACGGAGGAGGCAAGCGUUAUCCGGAAUUAUUGGGCGUAAAGCGUCCGUAGGUGGCCCGGCAAGUCUGCUGUCAAAGACCACAGCUCAACUGUGGAAAGGCAGUGGAAACUGCAAGGCUAGAGUGCGGUAGGGGUAGAGGGAAUUCCCAGUGUAGCGGUGAAAUGCGUAGAGAUUGGGAAGAACACCGGUGGCGAAAGCGCUCUACUGGGCCGCAACUGACACUGAUGGACGAAAGCUAGGGGAGCGAAAGGGAUUAGAUACCCCAGUAGUCAAGG